UACCUGGCUCAGAACGAACGCUGGCGGCAGGCUUAACACAUGCAAGUCGAACGAAGUCUUCGGACUUAGUGGCAGACGGGUGAGUAACGCGUGGGAACCUACCCUUUGGUACGGAACAACAGUUGGAAACGACUGCUAAUACCGUAUGCGCCCUACGGGGGAAAGAUUUAUCGCCGAAGGAUGGGCCCGCGUUGGAUUAGCUAGUUGGUAGGGUAACGGCCUACCAAGGCGACGAUCCAUAGCUGGUCUGAGAGGAUGAUCAGCCACACUGGGACUGAGACACGGCCCAGACUCCUACGGGAGGCAGCAGUGGGGAAUAUUGGACAAUGGGGGCAACCCUGAUCCAGCCAUGCCGCGUGAGUGAUGAAGGCCCUAGGGUUGUAAAGCUCUUUCAGCGAGGAGGAUAAUGACGUUACUCGCAGAAGAAGCCCCGGCUAACUUCGUGCCAGCAGCCGCGGUAAUACGAAGGGGGCUAGCGUUGUUCGGAAUCACUGGGCGUAAAGCGCACGUAGGCGGACUUUUAAGUCAGGGGUGAAAUCCCGGGGCUCAACCCCGGAACUGCCUUUGAUACUGGAAGUCUUGAGUCCGAGAGAGGUGAGUGGAACUCCGAGUGUAGAGGUGAAAUUCGUAGAUAUUCGGAAGAACACCAGUGGCGAUAGGCG
This 662-nucleotide ribosomal RNA is filed under the name Rhodobacteraceae bacterium Pbc-contFbc. Its description in RNAcentral is "bacterial SSU rRNA". It matches the Rfam family "Bacterial small subunit ribosomal RNA", at positions 16 to 723 of the family's 1533-position model. The record is from RNAcentral. Lineage: Bacteria; Pseudomonadati; Pseudomonadota; Alphaproteobacteria; Rhodobacterales; Paracoccaceae.